GCAAACUUGGUCAUUUAGAGGAAGUAAAAGUCGUAACAAGGUCUCCGUUGGUGAACCAGCGGAGGGAUCAUUAGAGAGUAUUACAACUCCCAAACCCAUGUGAACAUACCUCUCGUUGCCUCGGCGGAGAGAGGGCUACCCUCGCGGAGCUACCCUAAACUUACCUGGGACUCCCGGGAGCGUCCUCCCGCCGCCGCUGGCCCGAUAAACUCUGUUUUAUUUUGGAACUCUGAAUCUUAAAACAAAUAAGUUAAAACUUUCAACAACGGAUCUCUUGGUUCUGGCAUCGAUGAAGAACGCAGC
Molecule: unclassified non-coding RNA, 303 nt
Filed under: uncultured fungus
Lineage: Eukaryota; Fungi
Description: partial contains small subunit ribosomal RNA, internal transcribed spacer 1, and 5.8S ribosomal RNA
Rfam family: Eukaryotic small subunit ribosomal RNA (bases 1-73)
Source: RNAcentral